AAGUCGUAACAAGGUUUCCGUAGGUGAACCUGCGGAAGGAUCAUUACCGAGAGACAGGGUCCAAUCGGCCCCAACUCUUCACCCGUGUCUACGUACCUGUGUUGCUUUGGCGGGCCUCCGGCCUGUUCUGGGGGGUGCUCUGCUCCUCUGUGCCCGCCAACGGCCCCAUCCAACUCUGUUAUCAGUGUCGUCCGAGUACCAAAACAAUUAUUAAAACUUUCAACAACGGAUCUCUUGGUUCUGGCAUCGAUGAAGAACGCAGCGAAAUGCGAUAAGUAAUAUGAAUUGCAGAAUUCCGUGAAUCAUCGAAUCUUUGAACGCACAUUGCGCCCUUUGGUAUUCCGAGGGGCAUGCCUGUUCGAGCGUCAUUGCAACCCUCAAGCACCGCUUGGUAUUGGGCUUUCGUCCCCGCGACGGGCCUGGAACACCGUGGCGGUCCAGCGAGACUUCAAGCGUAGCAAGAUUUUUAUCCCGCUUUGGAAGUUUCUCGCUGCGAGCCAGCCAAAACAACACCUUUCAUUUUCAAUGGUUGACCUCGGAUCAGGUAGGGAUACCCGCUGAACUUAA
Molecule: ribosomal RNA, 567 nt
Filed under: Rinodina balanina
Lineage: Eukaryota; Fungi; Ascomycota; Lecanoromycetes; Caliciales; Physciaceae
Description: eukaryotic LSU rRNA
Rfam family: 5.8S ribosomal RNA (bases 215-368)
Source: RNAcentral